AUGGCCGCCACCAGCGUGACGCGGCCGUCCGAGCCGCCACGGGACUCGGACCACUCGUCGGACGGCACCAGCGCGUCGAACACGUUCGUUUCCCCCGCAGCCGGCGCUACCUCGAACGGCGGCUCCUCGUCGGCCAUCUCGGCCUGGAUCAUGAGCGCGUCCACGGCCAUGGCCUCGAGCUUCUGUAACGAGAAUGCGAGUACCUCAUCCAACGUCUCCGGAUCGUUUCCCGCGCUCCAGAUGCCGGUGGCGACGCGCUCCAUCCGGCCCUCGGACAAGGCGGUGGCGAGCUUCCGGACGAGCCUGACCGACCGCGCCGCGCUUGAGCUCGCGCCACCCUCGGUCCGCCUACCGCCGAUGACCGCCUCCGCGAUGCCCUCGAAACCCACUUGCUCGGGCGUCUUUCCGGUAAGGCUUUCCAUGCGCCCUAGCGACGCCACCUUGUCCCGAACCUCGUCGGGUCCGCCCGCGGCCGCCAUCUUCUGGAGCACAUCGAAUCCAGUCGCGGCCAUGGCACUUGGCAGCACGAACGGCCUCGAUACCUGCAUGGCGAGCACCGGGGGUACGUCUCUGCUUGCAAGCGGCACGUUGUACGGGUUCAUCGACACCAAGAACCCGCCGUCACGCGUUUGCACCGCCGGGCCAAGGCUUUGUCCCAAGUCCGGCACCACGGGCGCCUUCUUCUGCGACUCGCUUGAUCUUGGUGUCAUGGGCUGCUUCAGCUUCCUGAACUUGUCGUCGUCCACUGCCUCGAGCUUCCUAAGAAACUCAACGGUCACCAUCUCUUCAUCCGCAUCGAGCCGCGGCUGCUGA
RNAcentral lists this ribosomal RNA (813 nucleotides) under Triticum aestivum (bread wheat). RNAcentral's name for it is "partial small subunit ribosomal RNA". The record is from RNAcentral. Lineage: Eukaryota; Viridiplantae; Streptophyta; Magnoliopsida; Poales; Poaceae.